CUGGUUGAGGCAGCUGGCAUACUGCGGUCAGUUAAGGUGGUAUCUUUGAAAUCACAUGGUCCUUAGAGAAGCAGUGCCAUGUUGAAAGGGCAUUAGACAGGCCUGG
RNAcentral lists this microRNA precursor (106 nucleotides) under Ovis aries (sheep). RNAcentral describes it as "miRNA (ENSOARG00000024585.1)". The record is from RNAcentral. Lineage: Eukaryota; Metazoa; Chordata; Mammalia; Artiodactyla; Bovidae.